AAACCAACCGGGAUUGCCUCAGUAGCGGCGAGUGAAGCGGCAAAAGCUCCACUUUGAAAGCGUUUCGGCGCGUUGUAGUGUGGUGCAGUCUUUGAACGGCGAAUAACUAAGUCCCUUGGAACAGGGUGCCAUAGAGGGUGAGAGCCCCGUGAGUUAUUUAUUAAGUUCUUUAAGUCUGUACUAAAGAGUCGAGUUGUUUGGGAAUGCAGCUCUAAGUGGGUGGUAAAUUCCAUCUAAGGCUAAAUACCGGCGAGAGACCGAUAGCGAACAAGUACAGUGAUGGAAAGAUGAAAAGCACUUUGAAAAGAGAGUGAAACAGUACGUGAAAUUGUUGAAAGGGAAGGGUAUUUGGCCCGACAUGGGUCCUGUGCACCGUUGCCUCUUGUGGGCGGCGCUCUGCUGGGGCCUGGGCCAGCAUCAUUUUUCUGGCGGGGAUAAGGUUGCGUGAACCACCUAGUGGGGAUCGUGGCGAUGCCCGCACGGGGGAAUGAGGACUGCCGCUGUAGGAUGCUGGCACAACGGCCAAAUACCGC
RNAcentral lists this ribosomal RNA (533 nucleotides) under Saturnispora saitoi. RNAcentral's name for it is "eukaryotic LSU rRNA". It matches the Rfam family "Eukaryotic large subunit ribosomal RNA", at positions 62 to 648 of the family's 3401-position model. The record is from RNAcentral. Lineage: Eukaryota; Fungi; Ascomycota; Pichiomycetes; Pichiales; Pichiaceae.